Molecule: ribosomal RNA, 432 nt
Filed under: uncultured bacterium
Lineage: Bacteria
Description: partial 16S ribosomal RNA
Rfam family: Bacterial small subunit ribosomal RNA
Source: RNAcentral
CCUACGGGAGGCAGCAGUUAGGAAUCUUGCGCAAUGGACGAAAGUCUGACGCAGCAACGCCGCGUGAGGGAUGACGGCUUUCGGGUUGUAAACCUCUUUCAGCAGGAACGCGGUACCUGCAGAAGAAGCACCGGCCAACUACGUGCCAGCAGCCGCGGUAAUACGUAGGGUGCAAGCGUUGUCCGGAUUUAUUGGGCGUAAAGAGCUCGUAGGCGGUUAAGAAAGUCGGGUGUGAAACCUCCAGGCUCAACCUGGAGACGCCACUCGAUACUUUUUGACUAGAGUUCGGUAGGGGUAAGCGGAAUUCCUGGUGUAGCGGUGAAAUGCGCAGAUAUCAGGAGGAACACCGACGGCGAAGGCAGCUUACUGGGCCGAACUGACGCUGAGGAGCGAAAGCGUGGGGAGCGAACAGGAUUAGAUACCCUUGUAGUC